RNAcentral lists this long non-coding RNA (518 nucleotides) under Equus caballus (horse). RNAcentral's name for it is "lncRNA (ENSECAG00000048682.1)". Lineage: Eukaryota; Metazoa; Chordata; Mammalia; Perissodactyla; Equidae. The record is from RNAcentral.
GAAAGAUCUCUCUCUCUCCCUCUCCCCUUCAUGAAAAAGAGAGAAAGCAUUUAACCCUCGAGUGUUCAGUUAGUUUCCUCAGCAACACUGGUCAAGAGUGGUCGCAGCUCCACCCACAUCUGGGCACCCAGGAGGGGCAGGAGCCGCUCUUGGCAGGAAGGCCGCCUGCUGGGCCAGGUCAGGGAUGGCACCUGGACCUGUCACCACACGGCUUCUGUAGAUGCUGGAGGAGCAGCAUGUGGAGCCGGAGCGCCACAGGAGCCUUACGGGCAAACGAAAAUUCUUUCUACUUCUUUUCAUAACACUCUAUCAGGUUUGGAGAAUUCCCCUGGCGCAGAAAGCCUGAAGCACAUUCAUAUCUGUGGAUUGGGGACCCAGUUGGCAGGAUCCUCUCAACAGCUCUGCUCACUUCGAGAGCUACCAGGAGAAUCGUUUCAUGGAGGUGUUGGGAAAGUAGCUGAGCUACAGGAUGCCAGAUAAAACUCCAACACCAAGAAAGAGGACAGAGACAGUGUGCC